Molecule: long non-coding RNA, 1618 nt
Organism: Pipra filicauda (Wire-tailed manakin)
Lineage: Eukaryota; Metazoa; Chordata; Aves; Passeriformes; Pipridae
Exons: 2
Source: RefSeq, a predicted model, not a curated record
CCCUCACUCCCUGCCAGUCCCGGUGCCUCCUGCUGAGCCUUCCCCACCUCCAGCCCCGCUCUGCCAAGGGCUGCCGUGCCCUGGCACCGAUCCCUCCUCCCGGCUGGGUCUGGGAAAUCUCCAGGCUCGGCUCCAGGGGCGCUCGGGCCCCGUUUGGGACAAGGGGCCGGUGCCACCCCGGGGACGGUGCCACCCCGGCCCCAGCUCGGCCUGAACCCAGAGCCAGCCGAGUGCCGGGUGGGAGCCUGAGCAGCCCCGGAGCUGCCCGACUCCAGCACGUCCAUCCCGAGUUCCAGCUGCUGCUGACGCGGGGAGACGGCUGAAAAGGGAAGACGGAGCUCUCCAAGACACAACGAAAACAAAUCCUCCGCCUCCAUCCCGCUCUCCCCGAGUUCCUUGGCUCGGCUUAACGAGGCUUUUCUGCCAAAAAGUCCAAUUAAGAGCCCUGCACCCCCCCCGAAAGCUUCGUGGCACCAUCACAUCACGCCCCAAACGUGCCAGCUCAGAGCUCUGAGUGUCCCCAGCACGCCCCGGGCCCGGCCCUGCCCUGCGGGGAGGGCACCUGAGCAGAGCAGCCCGGCCAGAGAGCUGGGAGAGGGACCACAAACAACCCCAACAAAGGCAGGAAAACAUCCCAUUCACUCAGCAAGGCCGCGGGGCUGCUCCCAGCUGGGCUUCCGGAGGUAUUUUUAGGGCGGCAGAGAAGGGAACGGCCGUGCCAGGCGGGAGCUGAGCCGCGGGCAGGGGGGGCUGCUCGAGGCUGACAGGAGACCACUCGGCCUGUUCACACCCAGCCAGGCCAGGCCGGGCUUUUUUUGACCCCAAGUCAGCAGAGGAGCUGUCAGUGGGGAGCCCGGAGCGGAUGCAUUCCUGACUCCUGCCCUCGGGGAGCAUAGCAAGGGAAUGAGGCACAGACACAGGACUGACUCACCUCCCUCCUGUGCUGCCCCGGAGAGCAGCGGCUGGGCUGGAUGCAGAUCAAAAGGUCCCAGCUGUUAAAGCCAUGAUUGCAGGAUUUCCCAGACUCGCUGAAAAAGCACGUAUGCCAUUGUGUCCCACGGCUGGAACAGGAAAAAGCCUGAAAAUCCGAGCCACAGCCUCCGAACACAAACCGGCUCCUCGCCGCCGCCGCUCUCCAACCUCCUUUUUCUUUCAACGCUUCCUAAACGGCUUUGGAGUUUUGCAGGGCCGGCUUUCGGCUCCCCCCCAGGACUGCUCCUAUCCCACCGUGGGGGAACUUUUUGGCCUCGUGUAUCCCAGAGCCACCCACGUGGCCACUCACGUGCCACGGCCUCGGGAUACUCGGAGCCACCGGCCUCUGUCCCCCGGUGUCACCUGGGUCUCGACUCCGGCCCACAGCCAGCCGAGUGUGAAGCAGAAACCGGGGCCAGCUGUGCUCCAGCCACCCCAGCCUGGAUUCCCCAGCCCUCCACACAAACCCAGCCCCACAAAACCACGGAGUCUGUGGCUUUGUGGGCCCGCACGGAACACGGCGUGGCACUGAAACGCCUCUGCCGGCUCAGGAGCGGCCAGGACAGCUCCCAGCACGGAGCCAGAGCCUCUCCCUGCCCCGGGGAGGUUCCCAACGAAGCCAUUUAAUAAACUGCAGGACAAGACA